Long non-coding RNA from Drosophila miranda, 1116 nucleotides. RefSeq lists it as uncharacterized. NCBI's taxonomy places the organism in Eukaryota, Metazoa, Arthropoda, Insecta, Diptera, Drosophilidae. The record is from RefSeq and is a predicted model, not a curated record. The transcript has 3 exons.
AUUCGUACAUUUGCUCUGAUUGGGACAACUCGCUGGGCAUUCCUUCUAUAAUCAAACGAGGGCAUACAUACUUGUACAUAUGUGCGGAUCUGGGAUCUAUUCGGCUGUAGGUUCGAUGUGUCUGUUAAAACUAAAUAAAUAUAGGAAAACUUUCAUCCAACAAUCAAAUCGAAAAUAAAUAAGAGCCAAAACGAGAGAAAAGAAUACUCGUACUCAUACCCGGUGCAGCGAAACUGUAUUUAAAGACCCCUGGGAGGAUGGUGCUGGGGGCCAAGUGAGAAUUGUUGUUUGCAAUCAGGCGAAGACCAGCCAACGAGUGGAGCAGACUGGAGUGGAGUGGCAGUGCCAGCUCGGAGGAGAUGGAGAUGAAGAUGAAGAUGGACAAGAAACUUCUGGGCGAGGGCGACGGUGAGGGUCCUGGCAAAAAGUUUGCCCAGCUCAAAGUGCUUGGAAUGCAACAAUAAAAUUCGAAAUCUGCCAUGAAUUGCAGACAAUCAUGGAACAGGGGACAGAACAGAGCUCACACCCAAGCAGAUUCAAACUGCAUCGCAAUGGAAUGAAGUUAAUAAGUUUCAGCGAGCCAGCAGUCCGGCGACAAACCCUGUGCCAAUGAAAUAAAGGUCUGCAAAAAAGUAUAUAUUAUUUGAGGAAAUGUUGCAGAACAAUUAAAAAGUUGUGGACUUUCAUGAGUCAAUCAAACGACUGAGAACCGCAACGACUUUCUCAAGAGUUGCUCAACUUUGCGGCACUUUAAAUGCCAGACAGACAGACGGCACAACAGGCAUACGCAUACGCAUACGCAUACGAUGCCCCAUGGUGCAGCAUAUGAAGAAGCAAGACGUCUACAGAAGGAGCAGGAAGAUGUUCCUCUGAGGGCAAUCGGAACCAGUCAACCGGAUCAAGAGGCAACUUUGGGGAAAACUUUAAAAACUACAGAGCCACAGAGAGGGCCCUCUGCACUGCCUGGCCUGCCUGUCCUGCCUACGAGUAUUUCUAAACAACUGAGAAAGAAAAUUUCAGCAGUCAGGAUCUGCUGUCAGAAAGUCGGGUCUGUCAGUUAAAGCCCCUGGCAUGUGCUGCACAUUUCGCAUUAAAAAACACCCGAAAUGAGAUGAU